ACUCCUGCGGGAGGCAGCAGUGAGGAAUAUUGGACAAUGGGUGGAAGCCUGAUCCAGCCAUCCCGCGUGCAGGAAGACGGCCCUAUGGGUUGUAAACUGCUUUUAUCUGGGGAUAAACCUACUUACGUGUAAGUAGCUGAAGGUACCAGAAGAAUAAGCACCGGCUAACUCCGUGCCAGCAGCCGCGGUAAUACGGAGGGUGCAAGCGUUAUCCGGAUUUAUUGGGUUUAAAGGGUCCGUAGGCGGACUGAUAAGUCAGUGGUGAAAUCCGACAGCUUAACUGUCGAACUGCCAUUGAUACUGUUAGUCUUGAGUAAGGUUGAAGUGGCUGGAAUAAGUAGUGUAGCGGUGAAAUGCAUAGAUAUUACUUAGAACACCAAUUGCGAAGGCAGGUCACUAAGUCUUAACUGACGCUGAAGGACGAAAGCGUGGGGAGCGAACAGGAUUAGAAACCCUUGUAGUCCCAUGAU
RNAcentral lists this ribosomal RNA (470 nucleotides) under uncultured organism. RNAcentral describes it as "partial 16S ribosomal RNA". It matches the Rfam family "Bacterial small subunit ribosomal RNA", at positions 335 to 801 of the family's 1533-position model. The record is from RNAcentral.